GAGAGAGAGAGAGAGAGAGAGAGAGAGGGAGGGGAGAGGCGGGUGGGCGGCGAGGGGUUUAAGGGGAGGCGAGUGGUCUAAUAGGGUUCAACCCGGUAUCUCGACCCUCCGAUCCAGUGUACCAGAUUGCGACACGUCAGCGACGUGUGGAUCCGACGGCCGAUACAUAAAUCUUAGAGUUUGGUGGGCGCGGGCGGGGAGAGAAACGGAGUGCCCGAUCCCGCAGCCUCCCUCUCUUCUCCCGCCAUCUCGAGACCUCUCUCUUCCCCACCAGCGCUCUCUUGACCGCUUAUUUCGCCUAGCCUCCCCAGAUCAAAUAGCCCUGAGGAAGUUGAGACACUGAUGGCAGCAGGAUUGCAAAAGAGGAUGGUGACAAUUAUGAAGGAACCUCGAUAGGAGGAAAGGGAGGAUGAGGAGGUGCAUAGCGUGGCAAGCAAGAAGGGGAAAGAGUAGCCAGUAGGGGGGACGAAGAUGAGAUACAUACAUAGUUACGAAUAUAUUUUUUUCAUGGUAUGUUUGCGAUGAUCAAGUUCGUUUUUCAUGCUUUGGUUGCAAGCGUUUGGUUGUCAUUUUG
This 574-nucleotide long non-coding RNA is filed under the name Elaeis guineensis (African oil palm). Its description in RNAcentral is "long non-coding RNA (EGUI_LNC028860)". The record is from RNAcentral. Lineage: Eukaryota; Viridiplantae; Streptophyta; Magnoliopsida; Arecales; Arecaceae.